UCAGGACGAACGCUGGCGGCGUGCUUAACACAUGCAAGUCGAACGGUAAGGCCCCUUCGGGGGUACACGAGUGGCGAACGGGUGAGUAACGCGUGAGUAACCUGCCCUUGACUUCGGGAUAACAGUCGGAAACGGUUGCUAAUACCGGAUAUACAGCUUCCUAGGCAUCUGGGGGGUUGGAAAGCUUUUGCGGUCUUGGAUGGACUCGCGUCCUAUCAGCUUGUUGGUGAGGUAAUGGCUUACCAAGGCUUCGACGGGUAGCCGGCCUGAGAGGGCGACCGGCCACAUUGGGACUGAGAUACGGCCCAAACUCCUACGGGAGGCAGCAGUGGGGAAUAUUGCACAAUGGGCGCAAGCCUGAUGCAGCAACGCCGCGUGCGGGAUGACGGCCUUCGGGUUGUAAACCGCUUUCAGCAGGGACGAAGCGUGAGU
This 432-nucleotide ribosomal RNA is filed under the name Propionibacteriaceae bacterium P143. RNAcentral describes it as "bacterial SSU rRNA". It matches the Rfam family "Bacterial small subunit ribosomal RNA", at positions 24 to 457 of the family's 1533-position model. The record is from RNAcentral. Lineage: Bacteria; Bacillati; Actinomycetota; Actinomycetes; Propionibacteriales; Propionibacteriaceae.